UACGAAGGGGGCUAGCGUUGUUCGGAAUUACUGGGCGUAAAGCGCACGUAGGCGGAUAUUUAAGUUAGGGGUGAAAUCCCAGGGCUCAACCCUGGAACUGCCUUUAAUACUGGGUAUCUCGAGUCCGAGAGAGGUGAGUGGAAUUCCGAGUGUAGAGGUGAAAUUCGUAGAUAUUCGGAGGAACACCAGUGGCGAAGGCGGCUCACUGGCUCGGUACUGACGCUGAGGUGCGAAAGCGUGGGGAGCAAACAGGG
This 254-nucleotide ribosomal RNA is filed under the name uncultured bacterium. Its description in RNAcentral is "partial 16S ribosomal RNA". It matches the Rfam family "Bacterial small subunit ribosomal RNA", at positions 524 to 777 of the family's 1533-position model. The record is from RNAcentral.